CCUACGGGUGGCAGCAGUGGGGAAUAUUGGACAAUGGGCGAAAGCCUGAUCCAGCCAUGCCGCGUGUGUGAAGAAGGCCUUCGGGUUGUAAAGCACUUUCAGUGGGGAAGAAAGCCUUGGGGCUAAUACCCUCGAGGAAGGACAUCACCCACAGAAGAAGCACCGGCUAACUCCGUGCCAGCAGCCGCGGUAAUACGGAGGGUGCGAGCGUUAAUCGGAAUUACUGGGCGUAAAGCGCGCGUAGGCGGUCUGAUAAGCCGGUUGUGAAAGCCCCGGGCUCAACCUGGGAACGGCAUCCGGAACUGUCAGGCUAGUGUGCAGGAGAGGAAGGUAGAAUUCCCGGUGUAGCGGUGAAAUGCGUAGAGAUCGGGAGGAAUACCAGUGGCGAAGGCGGCCUUCUGGACUGACACUGACGCUGAGGUGCGAAAGCGUGGGUAGCAAACAGGAUUAGAUACCCCGGUAGUC
This 465-nucleotide ribosomal RNA is filed under the name Vreelandella stevensii. RNAcentral's name for it is "partial 16S ribosomal RNA". It matches the Rfam family "Bacterial small subunit ribosomal RNA", at positions 338 to 795 of the family's 1533-position model. Lineage: Bacteria; Pseudomonadati; Pseudomonadota; Gammaproteobacteria; Oceanospirillales; Halomonadaceae. The record is from RNAcentral.